AGGAGGGCGAGAUGUAUGGUGAUAAGGAGGCUGAGAUACUUGGUGAUAAGGAGGGCGAGAUGCAUGGUGAUAAGGAGGGUGAGAUACAUGGUGAUAAGGAUGGUGAUGAGACUAACAAGGAUGGUGAUAAGGCUGAUAAGGAUGGUGAUGAUGAGCCUGAUAAGGAGGGGGAGGAUGGUGAUAAGAUGGUGAUGAUGAGCCUGAUAAGGAGGGUGAGGAUGGUGAUAAGGCUGAUAAGGAUGGUGAUGAUGAGCC
Molecule: long non-coding RNA, 255 nt
Filed under: Brassica napus (rape)
Lineage: Eukaryota; Viridiplantae; Streptophyta; Magnoliopsida; Brassicales; Brassicaceae
Description: long non-coding RNA (BNAP_LNC001420)
Source: RNAcentral